This 220-nucleotide ribosomal RNA is filed under the name uncultured fungus. RNAcentral describes it as "partial 18S ribosomal RNA". The stretch from base 48 to 220 matches the Rfam family "Eukaryotic small subunit ribosomal RNA", at positions 693 to 867 of the family's 1831-position model. The record is from RNAcentral. Lineage: Eukaryota; Fungi.
GAAUCUGUCCGUUGGUCGGGCUUCACUGUCCGUACUGGCGUGAUGGGUUCUUACCUUCUGAAUAACCAGCAUGCCAUUCACUUGGUGCGUUGGGGAAGCAGGACUAUUACCUUGAAAAAUUAGAGUGCUCAAAGCAGGCCAGCGCCUGAAUACAUUAGCAUGGAAUAAUAAAAUAGGACGGCAUGGUUCUAUUUUGUUGGUUUCUAGGAUUGACGUAAUG